AGUUGGUAAUUCUUAGGAAAGAUGGUCUUCGGGUGGGGCCCCGUUAGUCCUGACAGCGUCAUAGAGGGGGGGACCCGGUAUGUGAUCGCUGCUUGCGCCCGUUGAAGACUCUUUCACGAGUCGAGUGUUUGGAAUGCAGCUCAAAAUGGGUGGUAAUUUCAUCUAAAGCUAAAUACUGGCCAGAGACCGAUAGCGCACAAGUAGAGUGAUCGAAAGAUGAAAAGCACUUUGGAAAGAGAGUUAAACAGUACGUGAAAUGUUGAAAGGGAAGCGCUUGCGACCAGACUUGCGCGGGGUCGAUCAUCCGGGGUUCUCCCCGGUGCACUCGGCCUCGCUCAGGCCAGCAUCGGUUUCGGUGGCUGGAUAAAGGCCCUGGGAAUGUAGCUUCUCUCGGGGAGUGUUAUAGCCCUCGGUGCAAUGCAGCCUACUGGGACCGAGGACCGCGCUUCGGCUAGGAUGCUGGCGUAAUGGUUGCAAGCGACCCGUCUUGAAACACGGACCAAGGAGUCUAACAUCUAUGCGAGUGUUUGGGUGUCAAACCCAUACGCGUAAUGAAAGUGAACGGAGGUGAGAACCCUGAAGGGUGCAUCACCGACCGGUCCUGAUGUCUUCGGAUGGAUCUGAGUAAGAGCAUAGCUGUUGGGACCCGAAAGAUGGUGAACUAUGCCUGAAUAGGGUGAAGCCAGAGGAAACUCUGGUGGAGGCUCGCAGCGGUUCUGACGUGCAAAUCGAUCGUCAAAUUUGGGUAUAGGGGCGAAAGACUAAUCGAACCAUGAGAGAGUGCUAGGUGGUUAAGAGGGGGUCUAGAGAGCCCCCUAGUCCGCAGCCAGGGCGACACUGUCAAAUUGUUCGGGGACUACCUGUGAACUUCCAAGCUACCGCAGCCCGGUCGAAAGACGGGUGCGCACCGGGUUAACGACCUCGGGGAUGGUAAGAAUGCUUGGAUAGGGUACACCCGCAGCGAAGACCUACGGGUAUGAGCCCAUACCUAUGGAUAACGUCCACAGACUAGACGGCAGUGGGCCUGACCCCGCCCGCGGCGGUGGGAGGGUUUAAGAUAUAGUCGGUCCCCUCAGAGAUGAGGUAGGCACGCAGACGGUGGCGGGGAGGCAGCCUGGGGUGUGAACCCAGGCCCCCAGCACCGGGAGCUGCCUAGGAGCGCUGAGCUCUGGGGCGUGGGCGGCCUGGCUAGAGAGCC
This 1198-nucleotide ribosomal RNA is filed under the name Neogloeosporidina pruni. RNAcentral describes it as "Leotiomycetes sp. WJL-2020a partial large subunit ribosomal RNA". It matches the Rfam family "Eukaryotic large subunit ribosomal RNA", at positions 139 to 1132 of the family's 3401-position model. Lineage: Eukaryota; Fungi; Ascomycota; Leotiomycetes; Helotiales; Dermateaceae. The record is from RNAcentral.